This is a non-coding RNA of Beta vulgaris subsp. vulgaris (sugar beet), 110 nucleotides long. NCBI's taxonomy places the organism in Eukaryota, Viridiplantae, Streptophyta, Magnoliopsida, Caryophyllales, Amaranthaceae. The record is from Rfam.
AUGAGAAAUCACAGGGCAAGUCUCCCUUGGCAAAAAGAGAAAUCUUCGUAUGCAUUUUACAUACAUGAUCAAUCUUUUUUGCCAAACGAGACUCGCCCUGCAAUUCAACA